RNAcentral lists this long non-coding RNA (229 nucleotides) under Vigna radiata. RNAcentral describes it as "long non-coding RNA (VRAD_LNC013550)". Lineage: Eukaryota; Viridiplantae; Streptophyta; Magnoliopsida; Fabales; Fabaceae. The record is from RNAcentral.
AUACUAAAUUGUGAUUUGCUUGAAAAGCGUUGCCAGAAAGGAGGAGAAGACGGGAAAAAAUGGCUCAUAUUAAAUAUGUGGUCAUACACCCUUUUGAAUUCUGUUUGUGAUUUAUUUUUGUUUUGAAUUUGUAUCCAUCAACUACUUUUCUCUUUCGUUGGUUGUCCUGAAAAAAACUUCUAACAAUUCAUCUCUCAUGAUUGUUUUUUAACAUCGUAAUUAUUAACCC